This 262-nucleotide unclassified non-coding RNA is filed under the name Hevea brasiliensis (rubber tree). The record is from RNAcentral. Lineage: Eukaryota; Viridiplantae; Streptophyta; Magnoliopsida; Malpighiales; Euphorbiaceae.
GGAGGAUUCAUGCUAUGUUAGAGAGCACACCUAGUAGAAUAAGUUUAACCUCUGAUUGUUGGUCUUCUUUGACCACCGAUGGAUAUAUAUGCUUAACUGCUCAUUUCAUUGAUAAGGAUUGACGUAUUCAAAAGAGAAUUCUGAAUUUUAGUUUUAUGCCACCUCCUCACACUGGCAUAUCAUUGUCUAAAAAAAUACACACUCUUUUGACUGAAUGGGGUAUUGAGAAGAAGAUUUUUUCAAUUACUUUGGAUAAUGCUUC